Molecule: long non-coding RNA, 389 nt
Filed under: Vigna radiata
Lineage: Eukaryota; Viridiplantae; Streptophyta; Magnoliopsida; Fabales; Fabaceae
Description: long non-coding RNA (VRAD_LNC007058)
Source: RNAcentral
AUGCAUAAAUGGGCUCACUAUUUUUAUUUUGUUUCAAGAGUGUUUCAUCAUACACUUCCAAAUAUUUCAUCAAAUAAUUCCAAUUUCCUAAAAUGUCUCAAAUUAAUAAGUGAUUUAAAAAUUUAAUUUUUAUUAUUGAGAAUUUCUGCGCAUAGCACUGAUUCCACCUCCAUUUUUCUUCAAUCACCAAAUAUGCAUUUCUGCUGCACUUGGCAUCCCUUCACUCAUGUACCCUUGCACCUCCUACACCCUUCCAUCCCUGCACCUCAUUUUGUAUCUUUGCACCUCAUUUCAUCUUUAUUAAAAAAAAUCCUACACCCCUCCACCUUUGAACUACAACUCUUUCAUAAUAUUAUUUUGAAACUUUUUACUUUUGCAACUCAUGUACG